This 735-nucleotide ribosomal RNA is filed under the name unidentified archaeon. Its description in RNAcentral is "bacterial SSU rRNA". It matches the Rfam family "Archaeal small subunit ribosomal RNA", at positions 123 to 859 of the family's 1478-position model. The record is from RNAcentral.
GGGAUAACCCCGGGAAACUGGGGAUAAUACCGGAUAAAUCACAAGUACUGGAAGGUUUUGUGGUUGAAACUUCCGGGGCUUUUGGAUGGGUCUGCGGCUGAUUAGGUUGUUGCCGGUGUAACGUACCGUCAAGCCUGUAAUCAGUACGGGUUGUGGGAGCAAGAGCCCGGAGAUGGAUUCUGAGACACGAAUCCAGGCCCUACGGGGCGCAGCAGGCGCGAAAACUCUACAAUGCAGGCAACUGCGAUAGGGGAACAUCGAGUGGCGUCCAUAUUGGAUGUCUGUCCUCCCGCCUAAAAAGCGGGAGUUAGCAAGGGCCGGGCAAGACCGGUGCCAGCCGCCGCGGUAAUACCGGCGGCUCGAGUGGUGGCCGAUAUUAUCGAGUCUAAAGGGUCCGUAGCCGGCUUUGCAAGUCUCUCGGGAAAUCCAGCGGCUUAACCGUUGGUCGUCCGGGGGGUACUACAUUGCUUGGGACUGGGAGAGGUAGGAGGUACUCAGGGGGUAGGAGUGAAAUCCUGUAAUCCUUUGGGGACCACCGGUGGCGAAGGCGUCCUACCAGAACAGGUCCGACGGUGAGGGACGAAAGCUAGGGGCACGAACCGGAUUAGAUACCCGGGUAGUCCUAGCCGUAAACGAUGCUCGCUAGGUGUCACAACAGUCGUGAACUGUUGUGGUGCCGUAGGGAAGCCGUGAAGCGAGCCACUUGGGAAGUACGACCGCAAGGUUGAAACUUAA